AAUUGAAGUAGCUUAGGAACUUCUCACUUCUCACAUGUGCUUUAACCAAAACUGCUUAUUCUAGAUGGCUAGGUUCGUGAGUUGGAUGGGUCUUAAGCCCAAAGCACUGAGGGAGACUUCUAUUUCAAAACCUUUGAUGCCAUUUUCCAAUUAAAAAUCUUGAGCAGAACCACCUCAAUCUGUCAGAAAUUUUCUAACGACGUUAAACCUCAAAAGGGAAGUUAGUUGUUCAGAUCUUCACUCAUUUUUUUCUCCAAGUGGCUCCUUCAUUAGUAUGCAAAUUUUCCACACCCUACCCUAGAGGCAAGCUCUGCAUACCAAGAAAUCUUGACAAACAUCAGGUUAUGAGACUUCCCCCCAAGAGAACAGGUGCCUAACAUCUUACACAACUAAGAGCAAAAGAGAGAAAAUCUCCAAGAGGAUAGGCUACAGUGGAGAUGAAGUCCCAGUAUGUUGCCUCGGCUGGUCGCAAACUCCUGAGCUCAAGUGAUCCUGCCACCUCGGCUUCUUAAAGUGCGGGUAGUACUUAAUUUGUCUAGAAAUGACAGUGUAAUGCCACUCUGGUCAAUGAGACCUAAGAGGAAGUCUACUGGAAGACAUCUGGGAAAGAUUUACCAUCCUGAAAAAAGACAUGAUCAUGACAUCUUGCAGAAAAGAGGAAGAGAGAAUUUCUAGGACAAAUGGCUUGUUUUUUACAUUAGAGAUGAACCAAAAGUUGCACACUUCACCUCUGCUCACAUCCCAUCCUUCUUAAUCAUAUAGCCACAACUUGCUUCAAGUGAGACUGAAAAUACAGUCCCUAAUGGGGGAAGAGGUGAUGACCAUGUGUACAGCCUAAGUUUUUUUUAAGAAAAAAAAAAAAAAGGGCCGGGUGU
Long non-coding RNA from Homo sapiens (human), 875 nucleotides. RefSeq lists it as uncharacterized. The transcript has 4 exons. The record is from RefSeq and is a predicted model, not a curated record. NCBI's taxonomy places the organism in Eukaryota, Metazoa, Chordata, Mammalia, Primates, Hominidae.